Molecule: ribosomal RNA, 274 nt
Filed under: uncultured bacterium
Lineage: Bacteria
Description: partial 16S ribosomal RNA
Rfam family: Bacterial small subunit ribosomal RNA
Source: RNAcentral
AUACGGAGGGUGCAAGCGUUACUCGGAAUCACUGGGCGUAAAGCGCGCGCAGGCGGCCUGAUAAGUUGGAUGUGAAAGCCUACGGCUCAACCGUAGAACUGCAUCCAAAACUGUCAGGCUAGAGUGUGGGAGAGGAAGAUGGAAUUAGUUGUGUAGGGGUAAAAUCCGUAGAGAUAACUAGGAAUACCAAAAGCGAAGGCAAUCUUCUGGAACACUACUGACGCUGAGGCGCGAAAGCGUGGGGAGCAAACGGGAUUAGAUACCCUAGUAGUCC